GCCCAGGUGGCGAAAUCGGUAGACGCAGGAGACUCAAAAUCUCCCGCCGCAAGGUGUGCCGGUUCGAGUCCGGCCCUGGGCACCA
This 85-nucleotide transfer RNA is filed under the name Inhella crocodyli. Its description in RNAcentral is "Inhella sp. CCP-18 tRNA-Leu". It matches the Rfam family "tRNA". From Rfam's summary of the family: Transfer RNA (tRNA) molecules are approximately 80 nucleotides in length. Their secondary structure includes four short double-helical elements and three loops (D, anti-codon, and T loops). The record is from RNAcentral. Lineage: Bacteria; Pseudomonadati; Pseudomonadota; Betaproteobacteria; Burkholderiales; Sphaerotilaceae.